Cucurbita moschata (crookneck pumpkin) is the source of this 937-nucleotide RNA transcript. RefSeq lists it as uncharacterized. The transcript has 3 exons. NCBI's taxonomy places the organism in Eukaryota, Viridiplantae, Streptophyta, Magnoliopsida, Cucurbitales, Cucurbitaceae. The record is from RefSeq and is a predicted model, not a curated record.
GAAGAUUACCCAAACAUGGAUCUCAUUGGCAUCUCUGCGAGCAUCUAGCAACCGGAAAGUCUGCUACGAUGUCGGAUCCAUAUUCAGGGGCCAAAGGAGGUAGGCUCACCUUCAAGGGAGGAGUCUUAGCCUCCCGCAGUAAGGAUAUUGACAAGAAGAAGAAGAAGAAGAAGGAGAAGAAAGACAAAAGUAAAAGCGAGGAGAACCCCACGGACGAGGCCGAGAUUUUGUCGUCGGCUGACGGUGUAGAGGGUGAAGAGGGAGUGGUGUAUACUAUUGAUGCGGCCAAGCGUAUGAAGUAUGAGGAGCUCUUCCCGGUGGAGACCAGGAGGUUCGGUUACGACCCUAACAACGCCGAUACCAAGUUCAAGUCUGUGGAGGAAGCUCUUGAUGACCGUGUUAAAAAGAAGGCGGAUCGUUAUUGUAAAUAAUCAGAGAGAAACAUGCCUAUGAACUAUGGGAAGGAGUGCGUAGGCAUAAGUUAGUUACCUGCUCGACAUGAUAUGCUGAGUUAGACAAGGCAUUGGUCAUAAUGGAACUACUGAGAUUCCAGUGAUUUCUUGAGACGAUGCUCAUCAUGCUCCACUAAGCAACAGGUUCAACACUAUGCCUUAGAUUUCUAGUUUUCAUGGUAUUUGAUCUAAUAUAGACUCAUGGAGCCAUUACCACAGAAAAAAAUGUUGGUACGGCUUAAUCUUUGGUUGUUAGUUUAGUAUUUUGUAGAAAAGAAUGGUUAUGGAUUAUUCCAACAAUUCAGGAACCAAAUAAUUUAGCAUGGAUUGAAUUAUAAUUCUUGACUGCCACAAAAAUCAUUAUAAUAGUGUUAAAGUUAGGGGAGAGGGAAAUGCUGUAAAGGAAUAUGGGAUUUCUCUUAAUUCAUUUUCCAUUUUUGAACUUGUGUUCAUCAAUUUCAGCUUAUGAGCUUCUAAAAUUUCAA